GUUUUAGUUGCCAUUGGAUCACUGGUAGCUUCCCAAUCCUAUCUAUUAAAUGAAUAGUAGUGUUUUUGCUUCUUGUAUUAGUGUUUGGUAAUCUCUUACUAUAAUGGGCAGCUUUUCUUUGCCUUUGUCAAAUAUAUAACAAUUUGAUUAGGAAAUGACUUUUUCUUAAUAAAUCCUUUGCCAUUUUUCUCAUAUUUGAUGGUAAACUUUUUAUUUUCACUGUGUGAUAAAUAAAGUAUGAACUUCUCUGGCUCUUUGAAUAAUAAGUUCCUUUUUGUUAAAAAAAAAAAAAGCUUUUCUUGCUCUUGCUUUUGAUGUAUGUCAUGUUCACAGUUUGGAAUCUUAAUGGAACCCACAUCACUUGGUGUAUUCAAUAUGAAAUGUCUGCGCCAGCAUCUACAUUUGUCAGAUUAGAGUUGAUGCGUCAAGGAUCAUCUUCUUUUGGUUUUAGGGUAAAAGAAUAUGUUAUGUGAAGAUUUUAAGAAUGAGUUGGUGAAAGCCUAUUAUCAACUGAAUUUAUGAGUAAAGAACAGCAUACUUAUUAACGUGCAAAAAUAUAUCUGAAUUAUUCUUGUUGGAUUAUGUAUUAAAUAUAUAUCUGAAGUAUUCUUGUUGGAUUAUGUAUUACAGGUUACAUUAUUUUUUAAAUAAAUCUGAGUUUCACCUAUGGGUUACCUGUUACGUUGUUUAAUAAUAUUUUUCUUUCCUUCCUAAUACAGAUGCUUGAUGGUCUGGUGAAGCA
This 742-nucleotide unclassified non-coding RNA is filed under the name Hevea brasiliensis (rubber tree). Lineage: Eukaryota; Viridiplantae; Streptophyta; Magnoliopsida; Malpighiales; Euphorbiaceae. The record is from RNAcentral.